UAAUUGGAGAGUUUGAUCCUGGCUCAGAAUGAACGCUGGCGGCGUGCCUAACACAUGCAAGUCGAACGAGAAAUCAGGCACUCAGGCAACUGAGUGCCGGAGAGUAAAGUGGCGCACGGGUGAGUAACGCGUGGGUAACCUGCCCUUGAAACCGGGAUAACAUCGCGAAAGCGUUGCUAAUACCGGAUACUGUCCCAAGAACUAUGGUUCCUGGGAUGAAAGGUGACCUCUCCGUGGAAGUUGCCGUUCAAGGAGGGGCCCGCGUACCAUUAGCUUCGGUCCAGACUCCUACGGGAGGCAGCAGUGAGGAAUUUUGCGCAAUGGGGGAAACCCUGACGCAGCAACGCCGCGUGAGUGAAGAAGGCCUUCGGGUCGUAAAGCUCUGUCAAGGGGGAAAAAAGUCCUGCAGUGAAUAGUUGUAGGAUCUGAUGGUACCUCUAGAGGAAGCACCGGCUAACUCCGUGCCAGCAGCCGCGGUAAUACGGAGGGUGCGAGCGUUGUUCGGAAUUACUGGGCGUAAAGAGCGUGUAGGCGGUUUGGCAAGUCAGAUGUGAAAGCCUUCCGCUCAACGGAAGAAGUGCAUUUGAAACUGCCAUUCUAGAGUAUGGGAGAGGAGAGUGGAAUUCCCGGUGUAGAGGUGAAAUUCGUAGAUAUCGGGAGGAACACCUGUGGCGAAGGCGACUCUCUGGACCAAUACUGACGCUGAGACGCGAAAGCGUGGGGAGCAAACAGGAUUAGAUACCCUGGUAGUCCACGCCGUAAACGAUGAGCACUAGGUGUAG
This 782-nucleotide ribosomal RNA is filed under the name Deltaproteobacteria bacterium. Its description in RNAcentral is "bacterial SSU rRNA". It matches the Rfam family "Bacterial small subunit ribosomal RNA", at positions 1 to 825 of the family's 1533-position model. The record is from RNAcentral. Lineage: Bacteria; Pseudomonadati; Myxococcota; Myxococcia.